ACAAAUAGUCCUUGAGAUUGUUUAGUUUUACCUCCUUAAUCCCUUUUCUUUUGAGAGCCAUUUCUUUUUAGAUUCUCUUCUACAAUCAGCUUUGGUUCUGUCGUUAUUUUCUUUUCUGCUUAUUUCUUUAGCAAACGCUCUUGGACGAAGGUGUGAUGCAUCCAUUGGAGAUUUCUCCUUAAAUAUGUAGGAUCAUCAAUGGGGAUUUG
Molecule: long non-coding RNA, 209 nt
Filed under: Panax ginseng (ginseng)
Lineage: Eukaryota; Viridiplantae; Streptophyta; Magnoliopsida; Apiales; Araliaceae
Description: long non-coding RNA (PGIN_LNC012764)
Source: RNAcentral